GACGAACGCUGGCGGCACGCCUAACACAUGCAAGUCGAACGGUGAAGAGAAGCUUGCUUCUCGGAUCAGUGGCGGACGGGUGAGUAACAUGUGAGGAACCUGCCUUUCAGAGGGGGAUAACGUUUGGAAACGAACGCUAAUACCGCAUAACAUAUUCGGACGGCAUCGUCUGAAUAUCAAAGGAGCAAUCCGCUGAAAGAUGGCCUCGCACCUGAUUAGAUAGUUGGUGAGGUAACGGCUCACCAAGUCGACGAUCAGUAGCCGGACUGAGAGGUUGAACGGCCACAUUGGGACUGAGACACGGCCCAGACUCCUACGGGAGGCAGCAGUGGGGGAUAUUGCGCAAUGGGGGAAACCCUGACGCAGCGAUGCCGCGUGGAGGAAGAAGGUUUUCGGAUUGUAAACUCCUGUCUUCAGGGACGAUAAUGACGGUACCUGAGGAGGAAGCUCCGGCUAACUACGUAG
RNAcentral lists this ribosomal RNA (465 nucleotides) under uncultured bacterium. Its description in RNAcentral is "bacterial SSU rRNA". It matches the Rfam family "Bacterial small subunit ribosomal RNA", at positions 28 to 508 of the family's 1533-position model. The record is from RNAcentral.